CGAUUAGCAGUGGGGAAUCUUGCGCAAUGGGCGAAAGCCUGACGCAGCAACGCCGCGUGCGGGAGGAAGGCCUUCGGGUUGUAAACCGCUUUCAGGAGGGACGAAGCUACCUGGGUUAAUAGCCCGUGGGGUGACGGUACCUCCAGAAGAAGCCCCGGCUAACUACGUGCCAGCAGCCGCAGUAAUACGUAGGUGGCAAGCGUUGUCCGGAUUUACUGGGCGUAAAGAGCGCGC
This 234-nucleotide ribosomal RNA is filed under the name uncultured bacterium. RNAcentral's name for it is "partial 16S ribosomal RNA". It matches the Rfam family "Bacterial small subunit ribosomal RNA", at positions 345 to 572 of the family's 1533-position model. The record is from RNAcentral.